This is a long non-coding RNA of Oncorhynchus tshawytscha (Chinook salmon), 1782 nucleotides long. NCBI's taxonomy places the organism in Eukaryota, Metazoa, Chordata, Actinopteri, Salmoniformes, Salmonidae. The record is from Ensembl.
CUAAUAACUAGUGCUGCUAUUCAGCCUCCGUCAGACUACAGACCCAGAGGACUGUCUGUGACCAUGGCUGAGAGGCGGUAAUGACCAGGUUUUGCCCAAAUGAGCCAAAUAAAGCCCUGACUUAAUUUAUUCAGAAUACAGGACGUGAACUGUACUACGCACUCACUUCCUACUUAUCUAAUUGGCUAGAUGCAACCCAUCUAUCAUUAUGAGGACUCAGAGGGAGUUGGGGUGCAGGGUCGUGGCAACACACACGUCUUCACUUUGAUUGAAAAGAUCAAAAGGUAUUUGAUUGCACACGUUUGAUUCCCUUGUAAAACACACAAACAGGGCUGGAUAGUUGUGGUGUGUCUCCAUGUGGCCGGUCAAAUGGAAAGUAUUUUGUUGAAAGAGAUUUGCUGCAGCUAAAGACCUGAUGACAUUUCAUUAACUGUCUGGCUCUGUCCCAAAUGGCACCCUAUUCCCUAUACAGCGCAGUACUUGUUACAAGAAGUAGUGCACUAUAAAGGGAAGAGGGUGCCAUUUGAGAAAACACCCCUGGUAUUCAUGAGGCUGUUUACUAACAAGUGUAGUCCAGUCAGGCCACAGGCAGCAGGUCCAGUCUACAGUACUGGGGAUGGAUAUGUCAGGCUACAGGCAGCAGGUCCAGUCUACAGUACUGGGGAUGGAUAUGUCAGGCUACAGGCAGCAGGUCCAGUCUACAGUACUGGGGAUGGAUAUGUCAGGCUACAGGCAGCAGGUCCAGUCUACAGUACUGGGGAUGGAUAUGUCAGGCUACAGACAGACAGCAGGUCCAGUCUACAGUACUGGGGAUGGAUAUGUCAGACAGCAGGCCCAGCUCCAGUCUACAGUACUGGGAAUGGCUAUUGUGUAGAUUAGAAAUUAUAAGAGAGUCUUGGCAAGAGAUAACCUCAAAGGUUUUUCAACAAUAAAAUGCCAAGUCCAAGAGCAACCCAUUUUUUCUUAGUUUGACAUCAUUGCAUGAAUAUUUGACAUCCACUUGAAUGGUGACGAGGAGCUGCAAAUAAAAUGAGAAGGUUUGGAAGAAAAAUAAUAGAAGUCAAAGAAAGGCCACCAACAUUAGGGCACUAUAAAGGGAAUAGGGUGCCAUUUGGGAUUUGGUCUUCAAUGAGGUCUGAGGGAGGGGGGCACACUGAAAAUGUGUUAUAUUUCCUUGCAAUCAAAAUGAGCAAAAAAUAGUCCUCUAUCCUUCAAAUGUUUGUUUCUCGAUACUCCCUGUUUAGCUUUAAUUAAAGUAUAUUGAGUUUGUUCCCCCACCCCAAAAAUAUAUUUUUACUCAAACCAUGAGCCGUAUGUUUGACAGCCCUGAUCUAGCCCAAAACAAACCUUUCUCCCUUGACACAAACCUGACCCCUCUCCUAUCCUCUGUCUUCUUUCAACUGCUUUGUGAAAGGGGUGUCGCUCGGAUGCCAUUUCUGACAUUGUAAGGUAAUUGGCAAUUUCUUUGAUGAGGCACAGACAAAAGUGGUUGUGCAUUAGAUGGGUACAGCAGUGAAAUUAAUGCAUGCUAAUUAAGCAGCUCUUUGUUGCAGGGAGGGUGCUGGGGCAGAUGAGAAGGCUCUGUAGCACUCUGUUCUCUAUGGGACAGAUUGAGCACCCAUUGUCAACGGCUCACUCAGGUGUAAAUGAGCCCUCUGUGUUAUUUUGGAAAAAUUUAUGAUGUGCAACACGCACACAGAGAGAGAGAGAGAGAGAGAGAGGGAUAGAGAGAGAGAGAGAGGGAUAGAGAGAGAGAGAGAGAGAGAUAGAGAGACAGAUAGA